RNAcentral lists this ribosomal RNA (310 nucleotides) under uncultured Moryella sp. RNAcentral's name for it is "bacterial SSU rRNA". It matches the Rfam family "Bacterial small subunit ribosomal RNA", at positions 28 to 339 of the family's 1533-position model. Lineage: Bacteria; Bacillati; Bacillota; Clostridia; Lachnospirales; Lachnospiraceae. The record is from RNAcentral.
GAUGAACGCUGGCGGCGUGCCUAACACAUGCAAGUCGAACGGAAAGAAUUCUUCGGAAUUCUUUCAGUGGCGGACGGGUGAGUAACGCGUGGGUAACCUGCCUCACACAGGGGGAUAACAGUUGGAAACGACUGUUAAUACCGCAUAAGACCACAGUACCGCAUGGUACAGGGGUAAAAACUCCGGUGGUGUGAGAUGGACCCGCGUCUGAUUAGUUAGUUGGCGGGGUAACGGCCCACCAAGACGACGAUCAGUAGCCGAUCUGAGAGGAUGACCGGCCACAUUGGGACUGAGACACGGCCCAAACUCC